UACGAAGGGAGCUAGCGUUGUUCGGAAUUACUGGGCGUAAAGCGCACGUAGGCGGCUUUGUAAGUUAGAGGUGAAAGCCCAGGGCUUAACCCUGGAAUUGCCUUUAAGACUGCAUCGCUAGAAUUGUGGAGAGGUGAGUGGAAUUCCGAGUGUAGAGGUGAAAUUCGUAGAUAUUCGGAAGAACACCAGUGCGAAGGCGACUCACUGGACACAUAUUGACGCUGAGGUGCGAAAGCGUGGGGAGCAAACAGG
RNAcentral lists this ribosomal RNA (252 nucleotides) under uncultured bacterium. RNAcentral's name for it is "partial 16S ribosomal RNA". It matches the Rfam family "Bacterial small subunit ribosomal RNA", at positions 524 to 776 of the family's 1533-position model. The record is from RNAcentral.